This 451-nucleotide ribosomal RNA is filed under the name uncultured bacterium. RNAcentral describes it as "partial 16S ribosomal RNA". It matches the Rfam family "Bacterial small subunit ribosomal RNA", at positions 354 to 796 of the family's 1533-position model. The record is from RNAcentral.
GUGGGGAAUAUUGGACAAUGGGGGGAACCCUGAUCCAGCCAUGCCGCGUGUGUGAAGAAGGCCUUUUGGUUGUAAAGCACUUUAAGCGAGGAGGAGGCUACCGAGAUUAAUACUCUUGGAUAGUGGACGUUACUCGCAGAAUAAGCACCGGCUAACUCUGUGCCAGCAGCCGCGGUAAUACAGAGGGUGCAAGCGUUAAUCGGAUUUACUGGGCGUAAAGCGCGCGUAGGUGGCCAAUUAAGUCAAAUGUGAAAUCCCCGAGCUUAACUUGGGAAUUGCAGUCGAUACUGGUUGGCUAGAGUAUGGGAGAGGAUGGUAGAAUUCCAGGUGUAGCGGUGAAAUGCGUAGAGAUCUGGAGGAAUACCGAUGGCGAAGGCAGUCAUCUGGCCUAAUACUGACACUGAGGUGCGAAAGCAUGGGGAGCAAACAGGAUUAGAAACCCGUGUAGUCC